GGUCCGAACCCACGAGCGUUGAAAAGCUCGGGGAUGACUUGUGGGUAGCGGUGAAAUUCCAAUCGAGCCCGGAGAUAGCUGGUUCUCCCCGAAAUAGCUUUAGGGCUAGCCUCAAGGUGAGAGAUACGGAGGUAGAGCACUGAAUGUCCUAGGGGGUAUUGCACCUACCGAAGACUAUCAAACUCCGAAUGCCGUCAUCUUAUACUUGGGAGUCAGACUGUGGGUGAUAAGAUUCAUAGUCGAAAGGGCAACAGCCCAGAUCGUCAGCUAAGGUCCCUAAAUGUAAGUUAAGUGGUAAAGGAUGUGGGAUUGCACAGACAACCAGGAUGUUGGCUUAGAAGCAGCCACUCAUUCAAAGAGUGCGUAAUAGCUCACUGGUCGAGUGAUCCUGCGCCGAAGAUUUCCGGGGCUAAAACUUACUACCGAAGCUACGGCAUCAGUAAUGAUGGGUAGGGGAGCUUCCCAUACGGGUUGAAGCAUGACCGUAAGGACAUGUGGACAGUAUGGGAGUGAGAAUGUUGGCAUGAGUAGCGAGAUGUGGGUGAGAAUCCCACAGGCCGUAAACCCAAGGUGUCCAGGGGAAGGUUCGUCCGCCCUGGGUUAGUCGGGACCUAAGCUGAGGCCGAAAGGCGUAGGUGAUGGACAACAGGUUGAUAUUCCUGUACUACCGAUAACCGUUUGAGAGAAGGGAUGACACAGUAGGAUAAGCUAAGCACACUGUUGGUUAUGUGUGCCCAAGCAUUGAGGCAGUCAAAGUAGGCAAAUCCGCUUUGAUAAUGCUGGGAUGUGAUGGGGAGCGAAAUUUAGUAGCGAA
RNAcentral lists this ribosomal RNA (814 nucleotides) under Clostridioides difficile. RNAcentral describes it as "bacterial LSU rRNA". It matches the Rfam family "Bacterial large subunit ribosomal RNA", at positions 771 to 1589 of the family's 2925-position model. The record is from RNAcentral. Lineage: Bacteria; Bacillati; Bacillota; Clostridia; Peptostreptococcales; Peptostreptococcaceae.